GUGGGGAAUAUUCCGCAAUGGACGAAAGUCUGACGGAGCAACGCCGCGUGAGUGAUGAAGGUUUUCGGACUGUAAAGCUCUGUUGUUUAGGACGAAAGUGCCUGUUGCAAAUAGUUACAGGUAUUGACGGUACUGAACGAGGAAGCCACGGCUAACUACGUGCCAGCAGCCGCGGUAAUACGUAGGUGGCAAGCGUUGUCCGGAAUUAUUGGGCGUAAAGAGCAUGUAGGCGGGAAUCUAAGUCUGUUGUGAAAAUGCGGGGCUCAACCCCGUAUUGCGAUGGAAACUGGGUUUCUUGAGUGCAGGAGAGGAAAGGGGAAUUCCCAGUGUAGCGGUGAAAUGCGUAGAUAUUGGGAGGAACACCAGUGGCGAAGGCGCCUUUCUGGACUGUGUCUGACGCUGAGAUGCGAAAGCCAGGGUAGCGAACGGGAUUAGAAACCCGUGUAGUCC
This 450-nucleotide ribosomal RNA is filed under the name uncultured bacterium. RNAcentral describes it as "partial 16S ribosomal RNA". It matches the Rfam family "Bacterial small subunit ribosomal RNA", at positions 354 to 796 of the family's 1533-position model. The record is from RNAcentral.